UGGCGGACGGGUGAGUAAUGUCUGGGAAACUGCCUGAUGGAGGGGGAUAACUACUGGAAACGGUAGCUAAUACCGCAUAACGUCGCAAAACCAAAGAGGGGGACCUUAGGGCCUCUUGCCAUCGGAUGUGCCCAGAUGGGAUUAGCUUGUUGGUGGGGUAACGGCUCACCAAGGCGACGAUCCCUAGCUGGUCUGAGAGGAUGACCAGCCACACUGGAACUGAGACACGGUCCAG
RNAcentral lists this ribosomal RNA (235 nucleotides) under uncultured bacterium. RNAcentral describes it as "partial 16S ribosomal RNA". It matches the Rfam family "Bacterial small subunit ribosomal RNA", at positions 96 to 334 of the family's 1533-position model. The record is from RNAcentral.